AGAGUUUGAUCCUGGCUCAGGACGAACGCUGGCGGCGUGCCUAAUACAUGCAAGUCGAACGCAUUUUCUUUCACCGUAGCUUGCUACACCGAAAGAAAAUGAGUGGCGAACGGGUGAGUAACACGUGGGUAACCUGCCCAUCAGCGGGGGAUAACACUUGGAAACAGGUGCUAAUACCGCAUAAUUCCAUUUACCGCAUGGUAGAUGGGUGAAAGGCGCUUUUGCGUCACUGAUGGAUGGACCCGCGGUGCAUUAGCUAGUUGGUGGGGUAACGGCCUACCAAGGCUGCGAUGCAUAGCCGACCUGAGAGGGUGAUCGGCCACACUGGGACUGAGACACGGCCCAGACUCCUACGGGAGGCAGCAGUAGGGAAUCUUCGGCAAUGGACGCAAGUCUGACCGAGCAACGCCGCGUGAGUGAAGAAGGUUUUCGGAUCGUAAAACUCUGUUGUUAGAGAAGAACAAGGAUGAGAGUGGAAAGUUCAUCCCUUGACGGUAUCUAACCAGAA
RNAcentral lists this ribosomal RNA (508 nucleotides) under uncultured bacterium. RNAcentral's name for it is "bacterial SSU rRNA". It matches the Rfam family "Bacterial small subunit ribosomal RNA", at positions 8 to 488 of the family's 1533-position model. The record is from RNAcentral.